RNAcentral lists this ribosomal RNA (483 nucleotides) under uncultured bacterium. RNAcentral's name for it is "partial 16S ribosomal RNA". It matches the Rfam family "Bacterial small subunit ribosomal RNA", at positions 30 to 506 of the family's 1533-position model. The record is from RNAcentral.
AUUGAACGCUGGCGGCAGGCCUAACACAUGCAGGUCGAGCGGAUGAAGGGAGCUUGCUCCUGGAUUCAGCGGCGGACGGGUGAGUAAUGCCUAGGAAUCUGCCUGGUAGUGGGGGAUAACGUCCGGAAACGGGCGCUAAUACCGCAUACGUCCUGAGGGAGAAAGUGGGGGAUCUUCGGACCUCACGCUAUCAGAUGAGCCUAGGUCGGAUUAGCUAGUUGGUGGGGUAAAGGCCUACCAAGGCGACGAUCCGUAACUGGUCUGAGAGGAUGAUCAGUCACACUGGAACUGAGACACGGUCCAGACUCCUACGGGAGGCAGCAGUGGGGAAUAUUGGACAAUGGGCGAAAGCCUGAUCCAGCCAUGCCGCGUGUGUGAAGAAGGUCUUCGGAUUGUAAAGCACUUUAAGUUGGGAGGAAGGGCAGUAAGUUAAUACCUGGCUGUUUUGACGUUACCAACAGAAUAAGCACCGGCUAACUUCGU